GAGACANGNAUCCAGACCCUACGGGGUGCAGCAGGCGNGNAACCUUCACAANGCACUAUAUGUGUGAUGGGGAGACUCCAAGUGGUAGCAUAACGCUNUNUUNUGAAAAGUUAAAACAUCUUUUCGAAUAAGUGGUGGGUAAGACGGUUGCCAGCCGCCGCGGUAAUAACCGCGCCACAAGUGGUAAUNUCGAUUAUUGGGUCUAAAGCAUCCGUAGCCGGUGCUAUAAGUUUUCUGUGAAAUCCAAAUGAAAACAUUUGGGCGUGCAGGAAAUACUGUAGCACUUGAGAUUGGGAGGAGCAAGAGGUACUCGAGGGGAAGGGGUAAAAUCCAUUAAUCCCUCGGGGGUCACCAGUGGCGAAGGCGUCUUGCUAUAACAAGUCUGACGGUGAGGGAUGAAAGCCAGGGGAGCGAAGAGGAUUAGAUACCCUUGUAGUCCUGGCUGUAAACGAUGUCCGUUAGGUAUU
RNAcentral lists this ribosomal RNA (467 nucleotides) under uncultured archaeon. RNAcentral's name for it is "bacterial SSU rRNA". It matches the Rfam family "Archaeal small subunit ribosomal RNA", at positions 305 to 775 of the family's 1478-position model. The record is from RNAcentral.